This is a long non-coding RNA of Aegilops tauschii subsp. strangulata, 606 nucleotides long. RefSeq lists it as uncharacterized. NCBI's taxonomy places the organism in Eukaryota, Viridiplantae, Streptophyta, Magnoliopsida, Poales, Poaceae. The record is from RefSeq and is a predicted model, not a curated record.
UUAAAACUUUCCUUGCAUACUUUUUUGCUUUAGCGUUAUAAUUUAUUUCCUUACCUUUGUGCUUUAAUUGCGUUAUAAUUUAUUUUUGUAGAAUCAUAUGAAGUAAUGCGAAUUUUGGCCAUUAGAUCUUAACAAACUAGCGGCUCAUAUCAGUCGGAGGAAUGUUAGCAUUUCUCUUAUAAAUAGCAGCCAGCCAAGGAAUUUACAUGAACAAAAGAAGGAACUACUAGGAAUACAAGCAAUCUCUGUGUUUGUUCUCAUCAAUGGCUCUCGCCAAGUGCAGUGCAGCACGGCCGACUAUUGUGCGCUCGAUGGUUGUUGCUUUCGUGGUGCUUGCUGUGAUGAUGUGCUCUACCAUGCCAUCGUGCCAUGCUGAGGCCGACUGCACUCAUCUAGAUACAUGCGAUGCUGCUGUAUGCAAAGCUAUAUGCGUGCGUUCGGGCAGGCGUUUCUACACUUCCUUCUGCAGGGCUGUCGAGCCUACUCCGCUGUGUUGCUGCUUCUAUAACAAAUAAAUUGAUGGUUCCCUUGCUUGAGCUAUGCAACGCCGAAUAAUUAUAUGCAUGUAAUGUACCCUAUUCACAAUAAAGAUGCUUGCUUUUUCCA